CAAUCUACCUUUCCGACCGGGAUAACUAGCCGAAAGGUUAGCUAAUACCAGAUACGCUCAUUGAACGGCAUCGUUUGAUGAUGAAAGCAGUAAUGCGCGGAUUGAGGAGCCUGCGGCCCAUUAGCUAGUUGGUGAGGUAAUGGCCCACCAAGGCAACGAUGGGUAGCUGGUCUGAGAGGACGACCAGCCACACUGGGACUGAGACACGGCCCAG
This 214-nucleotide ribosomal RNA is filed under the name uncultured bacterium. Its description in RNAcentral is "partial 16S ribosomal RNA". It matches the Rfam family "Bacterial small subunit ribosomal RNA", at positions 122 to 334 of the family's 1533-position model. The record is from RNAcentral.